RNAcentral lists this ribosomal RNA (570 nucleotides) under Dujonia zeylanoides. Its description in RNAcentral is "eukaryotic LSU rRNA". It matches the Rfam family "Eukaryotic large subunit ribosomal RNA", at positions 82 to 669 of the family's 3401-position model. The record is from RNAcentral. Lineage: Eukaryota; Fungi; Ascomycota; Pichiomycetes; Serinales; Debaryomycetaceae.
AGUACGGCGAGUGAAGCGGCAAAAGCUCAAAUUUGAAAUCUAGCACUUUCAGUGUUCGAGUUGUAAUUUGAAGAAGGUAACUUUGGUUUUGGCUCUUGUCUAUGUUCCUUGGAACAGGACGUCACAGAGGGUGAGAAUCCCGUGCGAUGAGAUGCCCAAUUCCAUGUAAAGUGCUUUCGAAGAGUCGAGUUGUUUGGGAAUGCAGCUCUAAGUGGGUGGUAAAUUCCAUCUAAAGCUAAAUAUUGGCGAGAGACCGAUAGCGAACAAGUACAGUGAUGGAAAGAUGAAAAGAACUUUGAAAAGAGAGUGAAAAAGUACGUGAAAUUGUUGAAAGGGAAGGGCUUGAGAUCAGACUUGGUAUUUUGCGUUCCCUUCCUUUUUGGUUGGGUUCCUCGCAGUUUACUGGGCCAGCAUCGGUUUGGAUGGUAGGAUAAUGACAUUGGAAUGUAGCUUUACUUCGGUGAAGUGUUAUAGACUUUGUUGAUACUGCCUAUCUAGACCGAGGACUGCGUCUUUGACUAGGAUGCUGGCGUAAUGAUCUUAAGCCGCCCGUCUUGAAACACGGACCCA